CAUCUGCUUGGUGUCCACAGAGAACUGGAAAGUUGCUUGGUAGGGAAAACCCACACAUCUGGUGGGCAGAAGAAUUCAGUGAAUGUGAUAAUAAAGGAAAACACAGAAGAGAGUUUUUCCCAACUCAGAUGCCAUAUUUUUAAGGAAGUACAGUAGAAAAAAUCGAGUUGGCAGGACCAGACACAGAAAGGUUGACCUGGGAAAGGAAGAGUCAACACAGACUAGUGUAAUCAGGACACGUAGUGUAAUGAACAUGUAUGAUUUCCAGACACUUCUUAGCACAUACAUCUGAACAUCUCGAGGCCAUGUCCACCAUCCUCCCCAGUUUCCCUCUCCCGCAGUGACUUGGAGAACCGGAUCAAAACUCAUCUGGGCUAUCUAUGCCUCAGAAAGGUGCUAGAGCAGCUCUUGGAUCACCGAGGAUCACGACUCAGCUACUUCAAACCUGAGCUUGGCAGAAUUCGGGGACUCCUCCUGACACCCCAGAUUUGGUCCGAUGUGAUUUAGGAGUUGCAGGUUCAUAUACAGAUGGGCCAAAGAAACAACAGUCUGACACAACACUUGAGAAAAAGCUGGCUAUUUUGAAUUUACUAAGAGCACAGCAUCUUUCUUUUUCCUUCCUUCAUCCUCCUGCUUAGCUGUUGAAGACUGUGAAGGUCACUGACAUCUUACAACAAAGAUUGUUCUCACCAUGAAUUCUCUUCCUGUGAUAUGUCCCAUCCUCAGAGCAGAGAUUGCCUUCCUGGAAGAAGCCACAGUGUUGUCUGAGGAGCUCAAGUUCACAAU
Odocoileus virginianus texanus is the source of this 786-nucleotide non-coding RNA. NCBI's taxonomy places the organism in Eukaryota, Metazoa, Chordata, Mammalia, Artiodactyla, Cervidae. The record is from RefSeq and is a predicted model, not a curated record.